AGCGCCAGAAAUGCGCGCAAGCGCACACGGGCAGCUCCGUAAGCUUCAGGCCCACGCCGCGCAGGCGCGCUCCUGUUCGCUCGGCUGCGUGGGAGCGGAAUCCGGGAGCCCAGCCUGGACUUGAGGCAGGUCGGGAAGAUGCUGGGCACCAGCACUGCCUGCAGGGACAGAAGAAAAACUCUCUGAAGGAUUGUGCGGCAGUGGCUCGGCCCCGCGAGGUCACACACUCACUGAUUUGUGAGCAAAACGGAGACCAGUGUCUACUUUACGGUAACGACCCUCCCAGCAGGCCGCACCUUGACCUUCUGGACGUGGUGUCCCACAGUUUCGUUCACAAGGCAUUGGUGGAGCGCCGUGCCACUCUGGCAGCCAAGGAGCAUAAGCCACGGCUCAAGGCCCAGAGGUAGGACCAGCGGGACCAAACUGCAGGGUGCAAGGGGCAGCAGCGAGAGGCCCAGAAGAGGAAGAGCCUGGUGGACAUGAAGAGGGCACGGGCAGAGGCGAGGCCAACAGGGACAGUGAUGCUGAGGACCCUCGACUAACUGCGAACCGAAUUCCUGAAAAUGUAAUCAUCACUUCUUAAAAGCUGAUGUGGGCUGUUUGUAUCGCACAAGCAUUAUGGGAGACAACCAUUUUAUUGUGCAAAAGGAUGUUAUUUGGAAAUUCAGAAAGGACACAGAUGAAUUCAUGGAGGACAUCGUCUUGGAAGGGAGCUAUUGAUGGAAGAUGCAUCUCUUGUGUAGGCAGGUAUGGUGGCGGAGACAUCCUAGUUCUGGAGUCGGUAACAGAAGUCCACUCAUUAAAUGGGCCCCACAGAACUUGUGAGUUUUCUCUGCAAGCUCCGCCUUUCCAGUGAUUCUGUGAGCCUUGUAAUAUCCUUUAACACAUCCCUUCCUGCUACUGUAGAUAGAAU
RNAcentral lists this long non-coding RNA (913 nucleotides) under Equus asinus (donkey). RNAcentral's name for it is "lncRNA (ENSEASG00005033177.1)". The record is from RNAcentral. Lineage: Eukaryota; Metazoa; Chordata; Mammalia; Perissodactyla; Equidae.